UAGAAUUUGGUGUAUUUGGGAGCACGAAGAGUUUUGGAUUCUUAGGGGUAGGUUCAAUUCCUAUAAUUCUAG
Molecule: transfer RNA, 72 nt
Filed under: Naemorhedus baileyi (red goral)
Lineage: Eukaryota; Metazoa; Chordata; Mammalia; Artiodactyla; Bovidae
Also listed under: 1 other name
Description: tRNA-Gln
Rfam family: tRNA
About the family: Transfer RNA (tRNA) molecules are approximately 80 nucleotides in length. Their secondary structure includes four short double-helical elements and three loops (D, anti-codon, and T loops).
Source: RNAcentral